RNAcentral lists this ribosomal RNA (497 nucleotides) under uncultured bacterium. Its description in RNAcentral is "partial 16S ribosomal RNA". It matches the Rfam family "Bacterial small subunit ribosomal RNA", at positions 28 to 507 of the family's 1533-position model. The record is from RNAcentral.
GAUGAACGCUGGCGGCGUGCCUAAUACAUGCAAGUCGAGCGAACAGACGAGGAGCUUGCUCCUUCGACGUUAGCGGCGGACGGGUGAGUAACACGUAGGUAACCUACCUAUAAGACUGGGAUAACUUCGGGAAACCGGAGCUAAUACCGGAUAAUAUUUCGAACCGCAUGGUUCGAUAGUGAAAGAUGGCUUUGCUAUCACUUAUAGAUGGACCUGCGCCGUAUUAGCUAGUUGGUAAGGUAACGGCUUACCAAGGCAACGAUACGUAGCCGACCUGAGAGGGUGAUCGGCCACACUGGAACUGAGACACGGUCCAGACUCCUACGGGAGGCAGCAGUAGGGAAUCUUCCGCAAUGGGCGAAAGCCUGACGGAGCAACGCCGAGUGAGUGAUGAAGGUCUUCGGAUCGUAAAACUCUGUUAUUAGGGAAGAACAAACGUGUAAGUAACUGUGCACGUCUUGACGGUACCUAAUCAGAAAGCCACGGCUAACUACGUG